RNAcentral lists this ribosomal RNA (840 nucleotides) under Bacillus siamensis. Its description in RNAcentral is "bacterial SSU rRNA". It matches the Rfam family "Bacterial small subunit ribosomal RNA", at positions 81 to 905 of the family's 1533-position model. Lineage: Bacteria; Bacillati; Bacillota; Bacilli; Caryophanales; Bacillaceae. The record is from RNAcentral.
GCUCCCCGAUGUUUGCGGCGGACGGGUGAGUAACACGUGGGUAACCUGCCUGUAAGACUGGGAUAACUCCGGGAAACCGGGGCUAAUACCGGAUGGUUGUUUGAACCGCAUGGUUCAGACAUAAAAGGUGGCUUCGGCUACCACUUACAGAUGGACCCGCGGCGCAUUAGCUAGUUGGUGAGGUAACGGCUCACCAAGGCGACGAUGCGUAGCCGACCUGAGAGGGUGAUCGGCCACACUGGGACUGAGACACGGCCCAGACUCCUACGGGAGGCAGCAGUAGGGAAUCUUCCGCAAUGGACGAAAGUCUGACGGAGCAACGCCGCGUGAGUGAUGAAGGUUUUCGGAUCGUAAAGCUCUGUUGUUAGGGAAGAACAAGUGCCGUUCAAAUAGGGCGGCACCUUGACGGUACCUAACCAGAAAGCCACGGCUAACUACGUGCCAGCAGCCGCGGUAAUACGUAGGUGGCAAGCGUUGUCCGGAAUUAUUGGGCGUAAAGGGCUCGCAGGCGGUUUCUUAAGUCUGAUGUGAAAGCCCCCGGCUCAACCGGGGAGGGUCAUUGGAAACUGGGGAACUUGAGUGCAGAAGAGGAGAGUGGAAUUCCACGUGUAGCGGUGAAAUGCGUAGAGAUGUGGAGGAACACCAGUGGCGAAGGCGACUCUCUGGUCUGUAACUGACGCUGAGGAGCGAAAGCGUGGGGAGCGAACAGGAUUAGAUACCCUGGUAUUCCACGCCGUAAACGAUGAGUGCUAAGUGUUAGGGGGUUUCCGCCCCCUAGUGCUGCAGCUAACGCAGUAAGCACUCCGCCUGGGGAGUACGUUCGCAAGACUGAAACUCAAA